AUGAGGUGCCUGCAAAGACCACAUUUAACAUUAAUUAAUAUGAUUAAUCAUUGUAAUAUAGCAAUAGCAGAUAUAGCAUUUUACAGGCAAUAAUAUUCAUUUUAUUUAUUUAUUUUUUGUUUUACUUUGAGUGGAUCAAAGAGAAAUUUAUUUAAAUGAAUCGUAAAACCUCAAAUUAAUUUAAUUAGGUAAGAGAAAGGGAAGAACAAUUAGGGGAUUCAUAUCUAAUUAUUAUAAAAGCAUUCCAUACCAUCUUGAGGUUUAGAGAAGGCAUAAUCCCAAUAGAUUCACAAUUCUCAAGAUGCCUUAAUGAUGAUCCAGGGUUUGAUUAUUUAACUAUACAAAUCCAUAUCAAGAAACAAAUGCUAAAUACAAGAUCAUUGUGAAUAAAAUACCGUUGUAUUUGUUAAGAAAACUGAAUUGCAGAAAAU
Molecule: unclassified non-coding RNA, 431 nt
Filed under: Hevea brasiliensis (rubber tree)
Lineage: Eukaryota; Viridiplantae; Streptophyta; Magnoliopsida; Malpighiales; Euphorbiaceae
Source: RNAcentral